GAUUAAGUUAUUAAGGGCGCACGGUGGAUGCCUUGGCACUAGAAGCCGAUGAAGGACGUUACUAACGACGAUAUGCUUUGGGGAGCUGUAAGUAAGCUUUGAUCCAGAGAUUUCCGAAUGGGGAAACCCAGCAUGAGUUAUGUCAUGUUAUCGAUAUGUGAAUACAUAGCAUAUCAGAAGGCACACCCGGAGAACUGAAACAUCUUAGUACCCGGAGGAAGAGAAAGAAAAUUCGAUUCCCUUAGUAGCGGCGAGCGAAACGGGAAGAGCCCAAACCAACAAGCUUGCUUGUUGGGGUUGUAGGACACUCUAUACGGAGUUACAAAGGACGACAUUAGACGAAUCAUCUGGAAAGAUGAAUCAAAGAAGGUAAUAAUCCUGUAGUCGAAAAUGUUGUCUCUCUUGAGUGGAUCCUGAGUACGACGGAGCACGUGAAAUUCCGUCGGAAUCUGGGAGGACCAUCUCCUAAGGCUAAAUACUCUCUAGUGACCGAUAGUGAACCAGUACCGUGAGGGAAAGGUGAAAAGCACCCCGGAAGGGGAGUGAAACAGAACCUGAAACCGUGUGCUUACAAGUAGUCAGAGCCCGUUAAUGGGUGAUGGCGUGCCUUUUGUAGAAUGAACCGGCGAGUUACGAUUUGAUGCAAGGUUAAGCAGUAAAUGUGGAGCCGUAGCGAAAGCGAGUCUGAAUAGGGCGUUUAGUAUUUGGUCGUAGACCCGAAACCAGGUGAUCUACCCUUGGUCAGGUUGAAGUUCAGGUAACACUGAAUGGAGGACCGAACCGACUUACGUUGAAAAGUGAGCGGAUGAACUGAGGGUAGCGGAGAAAUUCCAAUCGAACCUGGAGAUAGCUGGUUCUCUCCGAAAUAGCUUUAGGGCUAGCCUCAAGUGAUGAUUAUUGGAGGUAGAGCACUGUUUGGACGAGGGGCCCCUCUCGGGUUACCGAAUUCAGACAAACUCCGAAUGCCAAUUAAUUUAACUUGGGAGUCAGAACAUGGGUGAUAAGGUCCGUGUUCGAAAGGGAAACAGCCCAGACCACCAGCUAAGGUCCCAAAAUAUAUGUUAAGUGGAAAAGGAUGUGGCGUUGCCCAGACAACUAGGAUGUUGGCUUAGAAGCAGCCAUCAUUUAAAGAGUGCGUAAUAGCUCACUAGUCGAGUGACACUGCGCCGAAAAUGUACCGGGGCUAAACAUAUUACCGAAGCUGUGGAUUGUCCUUUGGACAAUGGUAGGAGAGCGUUCUAAGGGCGUUGAAGCAUGAUCGUAAGGACAUGUGGAGCGCUUAGAAGUGAGAAUGCCGGUGUGAGUAGCGAAAGACGGGUGAGAAUCCCGUCCACCGAUUGACUAAGGUUUCCAGAGGAAGGCUCGUCCGCUCUGGGUUAGUCGGGUCCUAAGCUGAGGCCGACAGGCGUAGGCGAUGGAUAACAGGUUGAUAUUCCUGUACCACCUAUA
This 1449-nucleotide ribosomal RNA is filed under the name Staphylococcus aureus. RNAcentral describes it as "partial 23S ribosomal RNA". It matches the Rfam family "Bacterial large subunit ribosomal RNA", at positions 1 to 1452 of the family's 2925-position model. The record is from RNAcentral. Lineage: Bacteria; Bacillati; Bacillota; Bacilli; Caryophanales; Staphylococcaceae.